GACGAACGCUGGCGGCGUGCUUAACACAUGCAAGUCGAACGGAAAGGCCCUGCUUUUGUGGGGUGCUCGAGUGGCGAACGGGUGAGUAACACGUGAGUAACCUGCCCUUGACUUUGGGAUAACUUCAGGAAACUGGGGCUAAUACCGGAUAGGAGCUCCUGCUGCAUGGUGGGGGUUGGAAAGUUUCGGCGGUUGGGGAUGGUCUGGCGGCUGAUCAGCUUGUUGGUGGGGUAGUGGCUUACCAAGGCUUUGACGGGUAGCCGGCCUGAGAGGGUGACCGGCGACAUUGGGACUACGAUACGGCCCAGACUCCUACAGGGGGCAGCAGUGGGGAAUAUUGCACAAUGGGCGGAAGCCUGAGGCAGCAACGUCGCGUGCGGGAUGACGGCCUUCGGGUUGUAAACCGCUUUCGCCUGUGACGAAGCGUGAGUGACGGUAAUGGAUAAAGAAGCACCGGCUAACUACGUG
Molecule: ribosomal RNA, 468 nt
Filed under: uncultured bacterium
Lineage: Bacteria
Description: partial 16S ribosomal RNA
Rfam family: Bacterial small subunit ribosomal RNA
Source: RNAcentral